UCACUGAGGUCAAGGGUCAACU
Molecule: microRNA, 22 nt
Filed under: Oreochromis niloticus (Nile tilapia)
Lineage: Eukaryota; Metazoa; Chordata; Actinopteri; Cichliformes; Cichlidae
Description: oni-miR-10920
Source: miRBase by way of RNAcentral